Molecule: ribosomal RNA, 468 nt
Filed under: uncultured bacterium
Lineage: Bacteria
Description: partial 16S ribosomal RNA
Rfam family: Bacterial small subunit ribosomal RNA
Source: RNAcentral
GACGAACGCUGGCGGCGUGCUUAACACAUGCAAGUCGAACGGAAAGGCCCUGCUUUUGUUUGGUGCUCGAGUGGCGAACGGGUGAGUAACACGUGAGUAACCUGCCCUUGCCUUUGGGAUAACUUCAGGAAACUGGGGCUAAUACCGGAUAGGAGCUCCUGAUGCUUGGUGGGGGUUGGAAAGUUUCGGCGGUUGGGGAUGGACUCGCGGCUUAUCAGCCUGUUGGUGGGGUAGUGGCUUACCAAGGCUUUGACGGGUAGCCGGACUGAGAGGGUGACCAGCCACAGUGGGACUGAGAUACGGCCCAGACUCCUACGGGAGGAAGCAGUGGGGAAUAUUGCACGAUGGGCGGAAGCCUGAUGCAGCAACGCCGCGUGCGGGAUGACUGCCUUCGGGUUGUAAACCGCGUUCGCCUGUGACGAAGAGUGAGUGACGGUAAUGGAUAAAGAAGCAACGGCUAACUACGUG